AGUAAUGUUCGAAGUGGGGCAAAUUAUGCGGAUGAGGUAAGAAUAUAUUAUAAUUAUUUGUUUGUAUUAUUUAUUUGUUACCUAAUAAUUUCAUUAUUAUUAUUUGUUUGUAUUAUUUAUUUGUUACCUAAUAAUUUCAUUAUUAUUAUUUGUUUGUAUUAUUUAUUUGUUACCUAAUAAUAAUUUCAUUAUUAUUAUUUGUUUGUAUUAUUUAUUUGUUACCUAAUAAUUUCAUUAUUAUUCAUUUGUUUGUAUUAUUUAUUUGUUACCUAUUCAUUUGUUUGUAUUAUUUAUUUGUUACCUAAUAAUUUCAUUAUUAUUAUUUGUUUGUAUUAUUUAUUUGUUACCUAAUAAUAAUUUCAUUAUUAUUAUUUGUUUGUAUUAUUUAUUUGUUACCUAGUAAUUUCAUUAUUAUUCAUUUGUUUGUAUUAUUUAUUUGUUACCUAAUAAUUUCAUUAUUAUUAUUUGUUUGUAUUAUUUAUUUG
This 485-nucleotide long non-coding RNA is filed under the name Malus domestica (apple). RNAcentral describes it as "long non-coding RNA (MDOM_LNC016348)". Lineage: Eukaryota; Viridiplantae; Streptophyta; Magnoliopsida; Rosales; Rosaceae. The record is from RNAcentral.